ACACGCUCUUCAGCACUUAAGGAGGAUGAAAGAGGAAGAGGUUAUGCUGAUAAUACAUUCUGCUAGAACGAAAAGAAAGUAGUACGAAGAGGGGAGACGAAAGACGAGAACAAUAUUUCGGGGUGGGCCAAGUGAAUUUUGGGUGGGGGCCAGGUAGGUUUCGAGCAUGGAUGAACUUAAUUUUUGAGUUGGGCAAAGUCAAAUUUUUUUUUUUUGGAUGUGGGCCAUAGCGUCCGUGCGACGGCAUGGCUGUUCACCGCAGGAUUUUGCAGUGCGAGCUGCAGCAGGUCCAGCGCCGGGAAGGUGACGUCAUCACUUGGUCACGUUGGUUUUGGUGCCAUCGUAUGUUAACGCCGGACGCCGUAUUUCUCGCUUCAUGAGGAAUAUAAUGCUUUCGCAUUAAAACAGUACACUCGCGGGCGAACGUAUGAGAAAGGCGCGUAAAAUGUACUAAUAUUUCAGCAGCAAUAAAGAAAAAGGACAACAAUAUAACACUGACACAAACAACCCUGGACGUAUUUGAUAGCUAGAACGAGACAUCGAUGCCGACCCGAAGGUUGAAAACUUCGGCUGAGCUGUCGUAGUUUAUUUCCUUACGACACGUGCCGCAUGAACGUGUUUCAGUCUCUAGGUUCAAUGUCACGUUGUGUAUCUACGCCAGUACACCCUUACAGGUGCGCACAACUCCUGCAGUAAACGAACACGCCAUCGGGAGAACUUCGAGAGAUCCGGUCCUGUAAUCUUUCUUUCCUACGCAAAAUGGCAAAAAGAGAAAGUCCUGGUCGCUGCGCAGCAUUUAGUACAAGCCUGUUUUGAGCUACUGAAGCACCACGUGACUGUCCGAGCUUUCAUUUGAUGCGUAGUUCAAACGGGCGAUACGACCAAUAUAAAGCGAACGCUUCGGUUCCUACUUCGCCAGUUUCUCUGGAGCCACGACCACCGUUAUGAAGAACUUGGCUUGGAUAUUAGCCCUGACGCUGCUGUCGGCAGCCUUGCUCACGGAGGCCCAGCAAUACCCGGGACAGGGAGGAUUUCCACGGCCUGGUGCAAGGCCGAGAUGUGGCAACGUAUUUUGCCGCCCUGGACAACGCUGCAUCUAUGAAAAAGUUGUUUGCAUAAGGUCACCAUGCCCAGCAAUUCCUCAAUGUGUAUGAGAAGGCAGCUACAGGAGUUUGCUCUGCACUGUUUACCAUCCACGCUACUACAUGCAGUGCCAUAUUUCCAUAUACAAUAAAAAAA
This is a long non-coding RNA of Dermacentor andersoni, 1239 nucleotides long. RefSeq lists it as uncharacterized. The record is from RefSeq and is a predicted model, not a curated record. NCBI's taxonomy places the organism in Eukaryota, Metazoa, Arthropoda, Arachnida, Ixodida, Ixodidae.